RNAcentral lists this ribosomal RNA (301 nucleotides) under uncultured bacterium. Its description in RNAcentral is "partial 16S ribosomal RNA". It matches the Rfam family "Bacterial small subunit ribosomal RNA", at positions 509 to 807 of the family's 1533-position model. The record is from RNAcentral.
CAGCCGCCGCGGUAAUGCGUAGGUGGCAAGCGUUGUCCGGAAUUAUUGGGCGUAAAGGGCUCGCAGGCGGUUUCUUAAGUCUGAUGUGAAAGCCCCCGGCCCAACCGGGGAGGGUCAUUGGAAACUGGGAAACUUGAGUGCAGAAGAGGAGAGUGGAAUUCCACGUGUAGCGGUGAAAUGCGUAGAAAUGUGGAGGAACACCAGUGGCGAAGGCGACUCUCUGGUCUGUAACUGACGCUGAGGAGCGAAAGCGUGGGGAGCGAACAGGAUUAGAUACCCGGGUAGUCCCUGUCUCUUAUAC